UGGGGAAUAUUGGGCAAUGGGCGAAAGCCUGACCCAGCAACGCCGCGUGAAGGAUGAAGGUCUUCGGAUUGUAAACUUCUUUUAUGUGGGAAGAAACAAAUGACGGUACCACAUGAAUAAGCCACGGCUAACUACGUGCCAGCAGCCGCGGUAAUACGUAGGUGGCAAGCGUUGUCCGGAUUUACUGGGUGUAAAGGGCGAGUAGGCGGGACUGUAAGUCAGAUGUGAAAUGCGGAGGCUCAACCUCCGAGCUGCAUUUGAAACUACGGUUCUUGAGUGAUGGAGAGGCAGGCGGAAUUCCCGGUGUAGCGGUGGAAUGCGUAGAUAUCGGGAGGAACACCAGUGGCGAAGGCGGCCUGCUGGACAUUAACUGACGCUGAGGAGCGAAAGCGUGGGGAGCAAACA
This is a ribosomal RNA of 405 nucleotides. It matches the Rfam family "Bacterial small subunit ribosomal RNA", at positions 355 to 774 of the family's 1533-position model.